ACCAGGCCGAAAGUAUAUUCGUUUCAUUAUAACAGGCGUGUUCAGCUCCAUGUGGUUCUGUAAUUCGAUUCCAAUGUACAGUAUUGAGAAGAAACUCCCGUCGUGUCUCCAAUAGCAUAUGCAUUUGGAAACCCAAACCCAAAAUAGGUUUCCAACACAAUACCUAUAGCCUCCAACAGAGUACCCAUACAGAAAACCCAUUUUGGAUAUCAGGGGAGGCAUAACCCAAAUUUGGGUAUCCUCUCUCCUCGAGACCCAUUUGCAGAGAGUGUUGUCUUUUAGGUCUUGUUGUUAGAGAAGAUUAAAAAUAGGUAUGGAACCUUUUACCUGUAGCGCUACCCAAAGGACAAAUGGGUCUUGUAUUUUAGGUGACGAUUGUUGGAGAUAGUCUUAGGACAGCUAUGAUUAGCUAACGAUCGUCCCCCAUCACCGUUGCCGACACUCGGGUAAUCGUUAGAAACAAAUCUCCUAAAAAUUGGCCAAACGCUUGAUUAAAGAAAAAAAAUAUCCAUAGAAAAGUCUAGUUCUUUUCUCUUGUACGGUAUAUAUAUGGAUUAAAAAAAGAGAAAAAAUAUAUAAUAGAAAACAUGUACUCGAUACAUGCGAAACAUAUAAAAGAAGAUGUCAUCUAAUGUAGUGUCAUAUAAAACAAGGCCUUUAUAGUGUUGUUAACAAUAUACAGAAACAAAGGAUGAACCUGUUACUCAUCACCAAAUAAAACACUAGAUCUCAUUUCUUACAAUCAAGCACAAUCUAAGGCCUUGUUUACUUCCAAAAAAUUUUACAAAAUGGACAUUGCAGUAUUUUCGUUUGUAUUUGAUAAAUAUUGUCUAAUUACGAACUAACUAGGCUCAAAAGAUUCGUCUUGAAAAUUACAGGUAAGUUGUAUAAUUAAUUAUUUUCUUUAUCUAUAUUUAAUGCUCCAUGCAUGUACCACAAGAUUCGAUGUGACGGGGAACCUGAAAAAUUUUAUAAUUUUUUAAACUAAACAAGGCCUAAAAGCUAUCCCACCCUUACGUAGCAUCUGAGUUUUACCAUUGUACAUGCAUGCUCUUGGCCUUGUUUACUUCCACCCAAAAUCCAAAAACUUUUUAAAAUUUUUUGUCACAUCCAAUCUUUAGACGCAUGUAUGGAGUACUAAAUAUAAACGAAAAUAAAAACUAAUUGCACAGUUGGUCAAAAUUUAUGAGACGAAUCUUUUGAGCCUAGUUAGUCUAUAAUUGGACAACAAUUAUCACAAACUAACGAAAGUGUUAGGGUGUCCCGAAAACAUUUCGGGAAAGAACUAAUAGUAAUAGGCUAUGGGUGGGCCUAUAGCUAGAGACUCGACUAGGCAGCAGGCGGCCUUGUUUACUUCCACUUAAAAACCUAAUUUUUUUAAGAUUCUUCGUCACAUUAAUUUUUUAGACGUAUGCAUAAAAUUUUUUUAAGAUUCGCUCGGGUAAUCGUUAUAAACAAAUCUCCUAAAAAUUGGCCAAACCCCUGAUCAAGGAAAAAAAUAUCCAUCCAUGAAAGAAAAGUCUAGUUCUUUUUUUUUGUGACUGUCUAGUUCUUUUCUCUUGUACGGUAUAUAUGGAUUAAAAAAAGAAAAAAUAUAUAUAAUAGAAAACAUGUACUCCAUACGUGCGAAACAUACGAA
This 1639-nucleotide long non-coding RNA is filed under the name Sorghum bicolor (sorghum). RNAcentral's name for it is "long non-coding RNA (SBIC_LNC011497)". Lineage: Eukaryota; Viridiplantae; Streptophyta; Magnoliopsida; Poales; Poaceae. The record is from RNAcentral.